UACGGGGGGAGCAAGCGUUGUUCGGAUUUACUGGGCGUAAAGCGCACGUAGGCGGUCUUUUAAGUCGGGGGUGAAAUCCUGGAGCUCAACUCCAGAACUGCCUUCGAUACUGGAAGACUUGAGUCCGGGAGAGGUGAGUGGAACUGCGAGUGUAGAGGUGAAAUUCGUAGAUAUUCGCAAGAACACCAGUGGCGAAGGCGGCUCACUGGCCCGGUACUGACGCUGAGGUGCGAAAGCGUGGGGAGCAAACAGG
RNAcentral lists this ribosomal RNA (253 nucleotides) under uncultured bacterium. Its description in RNAcentral is "partial 16S ribosomal RNA". It matches the Rfam family "Bacterial small subunit ribosomal RNA", at positions 524 to 776 of the family's 1533-position model. The record is from RNAcentral.